GAUGAACGCUGGCUACAGGCUUAACACAUGCAAGUCGAGGGGAAACGACGGGGAAGCUUGCUUCCCCGGGCGUCGACCGGCGCACGGGUGAGUAACGCGUAUCCAACCUGCCUCUGACUGAGGGAUAACCCGUCGAAAGUCGGCCUAAUACCUCAUGGCAUCGUCUGCGGGCAUCCAACGACGAUUAAAGAUUUCAUCGGUCAGGGAUGGGGAUGCGUCUGAUUAGCUUGUUGGCGGGGUAACGGCCCACCAAGGCGACGAUCAGUAGGGGUUCUGAGAGGAAGGUCCCCCACAUUGGAACUGAGACACGGUCCAAACUCCUACGGGAGGCAGCAGUGAGGAAUAUUGGUCAAUGGGCGAGAGCCUGAACCAGCCAAGUAGCGUGCAGGAUGACGGCCCUAUGGGUUGUAAACUGCUUUUAUGCGGGGAUAAAGUGAGGGACGUGUCCU
RNAcentral lists this ribosomal RNA (449 nucleotides) under Segatella oris. Its description in RNAcentral is "bacterial SSU rRNA". It matches the Rfam family "Bacterial small subunit ribosomal RNA", at positions 28 to 466 of the family's 1533-position model. The record is from RNAcentral. Lineage: Bacteria; Pseudomonadati; Bacteroidota; Bacteroidia; Bacteroidales; Prevotellaceae.